UACGAAGGGGGCUAGCGUUGUUCGGAUUUACUGGGCGUAAAGCGCACGUAGGCGGAUCUUUAAGUCAGAGGUGAAAUCCCAAGGCUCAACCUUGGAACUGCCUUUGAUACUGGGGAUCUUGAGUCCGGGAGAGGUGAGUGGAACUGCGAGUGUAGAGGUGAAAUUCGUAGAUAUUCGCAAGAACACCAGUGGCGAAGGCGGCUCACUGGCCCGGUACUGACGCUGAGGUGCGAAAGCGUGGGAGCAAACAGGG
This 253-nucleotide ribosomal RNA is filed under the name uncultured bacterium. RNAcentral describes it as "partial 16S ribosomal RNA". It matches the Rfam family "Bacterial small subunit ribosomal RNA", at positions 524 to 777 of the family's 1533-position model. The record is from RNAcentral.